UCAAGGAAUUGAAUCGGGCAAUGUCAGAAAAUGAAAACUUAUGUAGCCAUUCUCUUUGGAGCAUGAUCAUUUAAAUAGCAUGUAAAUCUAUUUUUUCCCUGCUGUUUGUAAUAUCAGUAACAUCCUCAGAAGGUGGUACUGAGAGUAGAUCUGAAAUUAGGAAUGUAUAUUGCAUAGGGAAUAUCAUUAACUAUUUGCUAUUUAUCCCAAUCUCGUGGAAAAAAACCUGAACACAGUUAAUACUGACAAACUUGUAGGUAAGAGUUCAAAUCAAAUCCUGAGAGCAACUACUGGACUUUGAAUGAUUUGGAGCAGAGCUUGGAGCAGUAUUUCAUACUCACUUCUUAUAGCCAUAGUGGAUCAAAUCAGAAGUCUGUUUCAUAUUUUCUUUGAAUUAUGUGAGUUCGAAAUCCUGAUCAUAACGUUGCUACUCAGUGGAUAUGUAUUCAUUGGCAUUAGCAUUUCUGAAUGGAUUAACUCAGCCAUUGUGAAAAACAGAUUCUGCAGUUUACUUAAAGAUAAGCAUGAGCAGCGUCAGGUCAAACAUUUUGGAAAUUUCCCAACAGAAAAGGCUCGCUCAUGGAAACUAAAUGUUCUGUAGAAAAGCUGUGAAUUUGAUGAAACUAUUGAAAAGAAGCCAGCAGGCAUUUGACCAAAAUCUUGCUAUUUUUCUGUCAGUUCACCUAUCUUUCUUUCCCCUCCUAGGCAAUAUCAGCCUCCAUGGGCUUGCAGAAGGACUGGGAAAAAGAAAACAACAACAAGCUCCAGACUCCAAGAUACUCAAGCAGCCUGUGGAAAAUGAAAACCAGAGCAAUACUUGUUUCCUAGGAAAAAAUGAACAAAUUAAAAUGAGUGGGGAGGACAGACCCACCUCAGUUUUAGAGUGGAAAGAAAUCCUCAGGAAGCUCUGCUGUGCUCCAUCCCUGACAAAGGCUCUUUAUACUCAACAAGCCUCAGCUACUGGGCAGGAGAUGUUUAUUGUAAUGAAAGACUCUUCAGAAAGUUUGGAACACAAAGAUUUUAUCUUUGUCAGGGGAACACCUAGUGGUUAGUUAACCUUUGAAUAGGACUUCUAAGACAAUGACAACUGCAGGAUUUGGUGCUGUAUGUGGUCUGGAUUUUAUUACAUGAAACACAAGGCAACAUACAGAAUAAACCUCUAAAUUUCUGACAUGGAGAGACUUUGCUUGUCCUUUCCAAAAGAAAGUUGCCUGAAUUUUCUUCACCCUCAUGGCCAGCCACACAUACCUUCUCCUAGCUGAGCUUGGAUACCCUUUGCAGCUGCUCCCAUACUGUCUCAGUUCUUCCAUGUUCACUGUCUGAGAAAGGCAAAAAAGGAGUUUUCAGAAAAAAAAAAAAGGUUUACUCCACAGGUGCAGAGAACCAUGAACUGGCUUAACCCUGGCAGCAGUGCAGAGAUAGCCCUGGUGACCCACAUGCAUUAGCACCAGCACCAGGAGCAGGAGUGCUGCUUCACCACGGUGCUGAACUGACCUCCAAUAUCCCUGCCUUUCUGCACUGUGCAUGACUUCACAGUGAGCUGGUUAAUGUUAGGAUGGGAAUCUUUGCAACACAGUUGGCAUAGAUCAGACAGUAAGCGCUGAGGUUACUUUGGCCCCUCUGAAAGUCUUUAAGUGACCGGAGUGCUUGUGUCUUCUGUGCCCUCAGCAGAGAAGCCGUUGCCUCCAGCUGCAUUUUCACUGUGUGGGAAUUGUUUGAACUCACCACUGUUGCCACAGCUGCUAAAGGAAAACAUGUAGUUAAAGAUGAGGCUGUGCAUACAUUAUAGAUAUAGGCAUAUGGUUGUCAAGCUGCUGCCCAACAGCUUCCAUAGUUAUAUGGCACCUUAUGUUAUCCAAAGCACUUGAAAUUUUUUAGAUAACAAAAGCAAACCAAGACAGCUAUUAUGGCUUUGUGCUGCACUUGCUUCCUGAUAGAGUUGCCAAUCCAGUACUUUGAAUUCUGUGCCAGCAGCUUUGACACAAGUGAAAGAGCAAGCUGUGCUUUUAACAGAUGCAAAUGCUUUAGUUGCAGUGAUCAUUGCUUUCUCAAAAUCAUUAUCACAUAUGUGGGAUUUCAUAUUCAUACUUUUUCAAAGCAGCAACGUUCAGAUGAUUAGAGCAACAUUUUCUUAGCACCAGUAGAUUUUUAAGGAGCAUAAGCAACUGACAUUAUCUUGACUCAAGCAAGCAUUUUACUGUCCCACCAGUGCUUCUGCUGAACAGACACACAACACAUGGUUGGCACUGUUGGAAAUCUUGCAUAGUGCCACCACUGUGCCAUACCAGCAAUGAGCCAUACUGAUGGAUUUCUAGGAAUCUGCAGUCUUCUCUGAUUACAGGGGAAUAAGGACAAACAAAACAGUGUUAAGCCAGCAUUAAGUUACUGGCUUAGAUAUUCUCGAUUUGAGAAUAGCUC
Molecule: long non-coding RNA, 2418 nt
Organism: Gallus gallus (chicken)
Lineage: Eukaryota; Metazoa; Chordata; Aves; Galliformes; Phasianidae
Source: Ensembl